UCCAGAAAACCCUGAACUCAGGAAUGAGACAUACAAACUCAUCCAGGAUGCAAUCGACAAACUGCUGAACCUAAUGCUGAUCCAACCUGAAGAAAAUCCUUUCCACUUCCCGCAAGCAAUUUUUACGAUCACACCUAACCAGAUUAAUGCCACUGUGGAGUACGUCUAUCAGAAAGGUGACAUCAAUGAGCCAAGCAAAUUCUUAACUGCAGUC
This is a long non-coding RNA of Anguilla anguilla (European eel), 214 nucleotides long. RefSeq lists it as uncharacterized. The record is from RefSeq and is a predicted model, not a curated record. The transcript is spliced from 3 exons. Lineage: Eukaryota; Metazoa; Chordata; Actinopteri; Anguilliformes; Anguillidae.